GGUAUACACAUCUAAAAGAGCCUGCAAUUUUUUUUUGCAGAAAAAAAGCUUCAAUCUUUGAGAACUUAUGAUAUCCAAUAUCAUCAAGUACAAGCAGCAAAAGCUAUAUAGCAACUUCAAGAGCACAUGUUAGUUUUAGCGGACAAGGUAUAUUGCAAUAGAAACCACAUAUUAUCUAAAAUAGUUUGUAGCAAGGUCUCAACUCUCAACCACUAGCAACACCUCAUAAUGCCUUACACUUGACAUCUUUUCUCAAUAUAUUUCACAUCAAUGGCUAAAUUCUGAUGACCAGUUUAUGAUUGAACAUAAAGUCAUAACAAAUUUACAAAGUAUAUGGUGAUGGUAACAAAAAAAAA
RNAcentral lists this unclassified non-coding RNA (356 nucleotides) under Hevea brasiliensis (rubber tree). The record is from RNAcentral. Lineage: Eukaryota; Viridiplantae; Streptophyta; Magnoliopsida; Malpighiales; Euphorbiaceae.